Theobroma umbraticum is the source of this 2224-nucleotide RNA transcript. It is a transcript of the gene named kinetochore protein, with no coding region annotated. NCBI's taxonomy places the organism in Eukaryota, Viridiplantae, Streptophyta, Magnoliopsida, Malvales, Malvaceae. The record is from RefSeq and is a predicted model, not a curated record.
GGGAAAUAUUAGUCACUUUCCUAUAUUUCCUCAAUUUUCACCAAUAUUUUUAAUUUUGCAGUUUUAAAUUUUUUCCUCACUUUCUCGACAACCAACCACUGGAAUUCUCACUCAGACAAAAAAGGAAAAUGUCGAAAUUCGAGUACCCGAUACUCUCCCGCGCCGACAUAAUAUCAAUCCUUGCUGAGUCACAAAUUGCCGCCGUCACCGACAACGAUUUCAAGAAUGUCAAACCCGAUUUCGUCUCCGAUCUCUACACUCGCCUCCUCAUCUACCUCGACGCUCUCCAUGAGGAAGACCAAGGACAAGUUGAGUUUUCAGCAUUGGAGCAAUUUGAGAACCCGGAUCUUCUAAUUGGAUCAAUCCAGGUUAUGAACUUGUAUUGCAGGUUAAGAGAGGUGGUUGCUUCUCUUAAUUGUCCAAUGCAAUUUAACCUUAGGGAUUUGGUUAAACCCGAUUCGGCCCGGACUGAGUUUUUCAUCAGCGCAAUCCUCAACUUUUGUCUUUAUAAAGACACAAAAAUGAAUCUUCUGAGACCGAUUGCUGAGGAGCUGACCCUUCUGGAUGAGCAGCGAAAGGAGUGGGAGGCUAAGAUUUCUCAGUUGAAUGCAGAGAUUGCAGGUUAUAGUGAAGCAAGAGAAAGGGAGUUACCCCUUGUUCAAGAGGUAGACUCAAAAGUUAAAGAAUUGCAUGAGAUGAUUGCUGGCCUCAACAGUAACCAGAUGUCAUUGAGAACUUCUUUUCGGAAUUUGAAGGAUAAGACUGGGCAAAUGGAUGAGAAGAUUUCUAAGGCUGAGUUUGACCUGGUACAAAGUGUCCAAGAAAAUGCAAAUCUACGUUCCAAAAUAGUUCAGUCACCAGAUAAACUACAGAGAGCUUUAGAGGAAAGGAAAUUAGCUCGAGACGAGGCAAAGACUGCUGAAAGGUUAGCUAUGCAGUCUUUUCAGGAGAAGACUACCAUUGUUGAGGUCUAUAGCAAGGCUCUUAAGAAGAUGUCAAAGCACUUUGCCUUAAUGCAAGCUAUACAUGAACAGGUGAACUCUGCAAAAUCAGUUGAGAAAGAAUGGAAGGGUUUAAAAGCUAAGUUAAGUGAUGAUGCUGUGUUAGACAAGUCACUUGAGGCUAAACUGAUUGAACGGCAAGGAAAAGUUGAACAAUUGGAAGAACUCCAAAGGCAGUUACAAAAAGAAAGGGGUCUCAAGUUUCAGGAGUCUACUAAACAUUUGAAUGAUGUGAAGUUGGAGGUGGAAUCUAGGCGGUGUGAUCUGGAAGCAAGGCAAAAGAAGGUUGAAGAUGUGGUGGCAGAGGUAGACUCGAUAACGUUAAAGACUAGUAUGGUAAAAGAAUCUGGAGCUGCUAAAGUGCACGAUUUAGUUAGUAAGUGUGAAGAGAUUGUAAAACAGUUUCAACAUUAUUCAUCCUCUAUUGGGGUUUUGCUGCCUGUGCUUGGGACAAAGACAACUUGAUUGAGAAGCUGCAACCAGCCUUUAACUUGCAUGCUAGGAAGCCACUCUAUUGUGAAAUCCAUUUUAUUCAUGAAAAUGAGUAACUUGCUGGAAUUCCCUGGCCAGUGUCUGCUGAUGCAGCAUGGUGCAUGCUGUAUUUGGGAUUGGUGCAGCUUUCUCGUCUGAUACUUCAUCAGGCUGCGGGAUGUCGUUUCAGUACUAAUGCCUAAUAUUGAUUGCCGUUGGAUGGUAAAUCUCUAGCCUUAUCAGGUGUUGGAGGUACUAAUUGACAUGAACAAGGCAACUGGUCAGUGGAAUUCACAUACAGGGUUGUCAGGCAUCGAACAGCUGGGCUUUGAGUGAGUCUUCAUGAUUUAUGCAUAUGCUUCUUUUUUUCUUUUUCGUGAAAAUCAUGCUUAUGCUUAUAUGGUGGUAGCCGAAGCAGAGUGAAAAUCCUUUUCACUGUUAAUAAGCUCAGAAAUGGGUGGCUGAGUGCGCUUUCCAUGAUCCUAAUGGCCACCUGAUUUCAGGACGUUGUGAACUUUUUGCAAGGGAAUGGGGCUGUAUUUUAUUUUUCCUUUUUUGGGAACAGGAAUUCGAAUCUAGUUUUUUGAACAGCAUGGAGCCGUGUGGUGAGCACAGAGGGAACUAUUCGUUUGCCUUUUUCAACGGAGGAUAUAUGAAUUUACCAUUGAAUCAAAUGUUUGAGUGCAGGAUCGAGAUUGUUAGUAGUCUCCCAUUCAUGGAAGGCAUAAUAGGGGUUGCGUUGCUUGUUCAAU